Molecule: ribosomal RNA, 1514 nt
Filed under: Serratia quinivorans
Lineage: Bacteria; Pseudomonadati; Pseudomonadota; Gammaproteobacteria; Enterobacterales; Yersiniaceae
Description: bacterial SSU rRNA
Rfam family: Bacterial small subunit ribosomal RNA
Source: RNAcentral
AGAGUUUGAUCAUGGCUCAGAUUGAACGCUGGCGGCAGGCCUAACACAUGCAAGUCGAGCGGUAGCACAGGAGAGCUUGCUCUCCGGGUGACGAGCGGCGGACGGGUGAGUAAUGUCUGGGAAACUGCCUGAUGGAGGGGGAUAACUACUGGAAACGGUAGCUAAUACCGCAUAACGUCUUCGGACCAAAGUGGGGGACCUUCGGGCCUCACGCCAUCAGAUGUGCCCAGAUGGGAUUAGCUAGUAGGUGGGGUAAUGGCUCACCUAGGCGACGAUCCCUAGCUGGUCUGAGAGGAUGACCAGCCACACUGGAACUGAGACACGGUCCAGACUCCUACGGGAGGCAGCAGUGGGGAAUAUUGCACAAUGGGCGCAAGCCUGAUGCAGCCAUGCCGCGUGUGUGAAGAAGGCCUUCGGGUUGUAAAGCACUUUCAGCGAGGAGGAAGGGUNUGCAUUGACGUUACUCGCAGAAGAAGCACCGGCUAACUCCGUGCCAGCAGCCGCGGUAAUACGGAGGGUGCAAGCGUUAAUCGGAAUUACUGGGCGUAAAGCGCACGCAGGCGGUUUGUUAAGUCAGAUGUGAAAUCCCCGCGCUUAACGUGGGAACUGCAUUUGAAACUGGCAAGCUAGAGUCUUGUAGAGGGGGGUAGAAUUCCAGGUGUAGCGGUGAAAUGCGUAGAGAUCUGGAGGAAUACCGGUGGCGAAGGCGGCCCCCUGGACAAAGACUGACGCUCAGGUGCGAAAGCGUGGGGAGCAAACAGGAUUAGAUACCCUGGUAGUCCACGCUGUAAACGAUGUCGACUUGGAGGUUGUGCCCUUGAGGCGUGGCUUCCGGAGCUAACGCGUUAAGUCGACCGCCUGGGGAGUACGGCCGCAAGGUUAAAACUCAAAUGAAUUGACGGGGGCCCGCACAAGCGGUGGAGCAUGUGGUUUAAUUCGAUGCAACGCGAAGAACCUUACCUACUCUUGACAUCCAGAGAAUUCGCUAGAGAUAGCUUAGUGCCUUCGGGAACUCUGAGACAGGUGCUGCAUGGCUGUCGUCAGCUCGUGUUGUGAAAUGUUGGGUUAAGUCCCGCAACGAGCGCAACCCUUAUCCUUUGUUGCCAGCGCGUAAUGGCGGGAACUCAAAGGAGACUGCCGGUGAUAAACCGGAGGAAGGUGGGGAUGACGUCAAGUCAUCAUGGCCCUUACGAGUAGGGCUACACACGUGCUACAAUGGCGUAUACAAAGAGAAGCGAACUCGCGAGAGCCAGCGGACCUCAUAAAGUACGUCGUAGUCCGGAUCGGAGUCUGCAACUCGACUCCGUGAAGUCGGAAUCGCUAGUAAUCGUAGAUCAGAAUGCUACGGUGAAUACGUUCCCGGGCCUUGUACACACCGCCCGUCACACCAUGGGAGUGGGUUGCAAAAGAAGUAGGUAGCUUAACCUUCGGGAGGGCGCUUACCACUUUGUGAUUCAUGACUGGGGUGAAGUCGUAACAAGGUAACCGUAGGGGAACCUGCGGUUGGAUCACCU